ACUGAGCGCACUGCAUUUGUAUGGAUUCUCCUGAUUCUCCAGGUUGAUAGCCAGGCACAAGUUCCCGUCCUUCACGGAGUGAACUGGGGCAGAUUGACGUUUACCACUGACAAAUGAGCUGCUGUGGCUGUAGAGCUCUGGAAAAUACUCCUCCUCCCGCAUUAACUGUGCUAUAGGAGUUUGUGUC
This is a long non-coding RNA of Perca flavescens (yellow perch), 187 nucleotides long. RefSeq lists it as uncharacterized. Lineage: Eukaryota; Metazoa; Chordata; Actinopteri; Perciformes; Percidae. The record is from RefSeq and is a predicted model, not a curated record. The transcript has 3 exons.